This is a non-coding RNA of Ophidiomyces ophidiicola, 111 nucleotides long. NCBI's taxonomy places the organism in Eukaryota, Fungi, Ascomycota, Eurotiomycetes, Onygenales, Onygenaceae. The record is from the annotation of a RefSeq genome assembly.
GCUUCCGUGGCGCAAUGGUAGCGCGUCAGACUUCUACGAGUCGGAUUAUUGAGCACGCUUAACUAAGACAAGCAGAUCUGAAGGCUGCGGGUUCGAGCCCCGCCGGAAGUG